GGUUAAGCGACUAAGCGUACACGGUGGAUGCCCUGGCAGUCAGAGGCGAUGAAGGGCGUGCUAAUCUGCGAUAAGCGCCGGUAAGGUGAUAUGAACCGUUAUAACCGGCGAUACCCGAAUGGGGAAACCCAGUGUGACUCGUCACACUAUCAUUAACUGAAUCCAUAGGUUAAUGAGGCGAACCGGGGGAACUGAAACAUCUAAGUACCCCGAGGAAAAGAAAUCAACCGAGAUUCCCCCAGUAGCGGCGAGCGAACGGGGAGGAGCCCAGAGCCUGAAUCAGCAUGUGUGUUAGUGGAAGCGUCUGGAAAGGCGCGCGAUACAGGGUGACAGCCCCGUACACAAAAGCGCAUGUGUUGUGAGCUCGAUGAGUAGGGCGGGACACGUGGUAUCCUGUCUGAAUAUGGGGGGACCAUCCUCCAAGGCUAAAUACUCCUGACUGACCGAUAGUGAACCAGUACCGUGAGGGAAAGGCGAAAAGAACCCCGGCGAGGGGAGUGAAAAAGAACCUGAAACCGUGUACGUACAAGCAGUGGGAGCACAGGUUUACCUGUGUGACUGCGUACCUUUUGUAUAAUGGGUCAGCGACUUAUAUUCUGUAGCAAGGUUAACCGAAUAGGGGAGCCGGAGGGAAACCGAGUCUUAAUUGGGCGUUAAGUUGCAGGGUAUAGACCCGAAACCCGGUGAUCUAGCCAUGGGCAGGUUGAAGGUUGGGUAACACUAACUGGAGGACCGAACCGACUAAUGUUGAAAAAUUAGCGGAUGACCUGUGGCUGGGGGUGAAAGGCCAAUCAAACCGGGAGAUAGCUGGUUCUCCCCGAAAGCUAUUUAGGUAGCGCCUCGUGAAUUCAUCUCCGGGGGUAGAGCACUGUUUCGGCUAGGGGGCCAUCCCGGCUUACCAACCCGAUGCAAACUGCGAAUACCGGAGAAUGUUAUCACGGGAGACACACGGCGGGUGCUAACGUCCGUCGUGAAGAGGGAAACAACCCAGACCGCCAGCUAAGGUCCCAAAGUCAUGGUUAAGUGGGAAACGAUGUGGGAAGGCCCAGACAGCCAGGAUGUUGGCUUAGAAGCAGCCAUCAUUUAAAGAAAGCGUAAUAGCUCACUGGUCGAGUCGGCCUGCGCGGAAGAUGUAACGGGGCUAAACCAUGCACCGAAGCUGCGGCAGCGAACGUAUCACCCAAGACAACUUUACGGAGUUGACGAUUGACGGAGCGAAGCGACGUCAAAGCGUUCAUUAAAGUCGAGUUGGCUUAGGGAUACGUUCGUUGGGUAGGGGAGCGUUCUGUAAGCCUGUGAAGGUGGCCUGUGAGGGGUGCUGGAGGUAUCAGAAGUGCGAAUGCUGACAUAAGUAACGAUAAAGCGGGUGAAAAGCCCGCUCGCCGGAAGACCAAGGGUUCCUGUCCAACGUUAAUCGGGGCAGGGUGAGUCGACCCCUAAGGCGAGGCCGAAAGGCGUAGUCGAUGGGAAACGGGUUAAUAUUCCCGUACUUGGUGUUACUGCGAAGGGGGGACGGAGAAGGCUAUGUUGGCCGGGCGACGGUUGUCCCGGUUUAAGCGUGUAGGUGUGUGUUCCAGGUAAAUCCGGUUCACUUUAACACUGAGGCGUGACGACGAGGCACUACGGUGCUGAAGCAACAAAUGCCCUGCUUCCAGGAAAAGCCUCUAAGCAUCAGGUAACAUCAAAUCGUACCCCAAACCGACACAGGUGGUCAGGUAGAGAAUACCAAGGCGCUUGAGAGAACUCGGGUGAAGGAACUAGGCAAAAUGGUGCCGUAACUUCGGGAGAAGGCACGCUGACACGUAGGUGAAGUGAUUUACUCAUGGAGCUGAAGUCAGUCGAAGAUACCAGCUGGCUGCAACUGUUUAUUAAAAACACAGCACUGUGCAAACACGAAAGUGGACGUAUACGGUGUGACGCCUGCCCGGUGCCGGAAGGUUAAUUGAUGGGGUCAGCGCAAGCGAAGCUCCUGAUCGAAGCCCCGGUAAACGGCGGCCGUAACUAUAACGGUCCUAAGGUAGCGAAAUUCCUUGUCGGGUAAGUUCCGACCUGCACGAAUGGCGUAAUGAUGGCCAGGCUGUCUCCACCCGAGACUCAGUGAAAUUGAACUCGCUGUGAAGAUGCAGUGUACCCGCGGCAAGACGGAAAGACCCCGUGAACCUUUACUAUAGCUUGACACUGAACAUUGAGCCUUGAUGUGUAGGAUAGGUGGGAGGCUUUGAAGUGUGGACGCCAGUCUGCAUGGAGCCGACCUUGAAAUACCACCCUUUAAUGUUUGAUGUUCUAACGUGGACCCGUGAUCCGGGUUGCGGACAGUGUCUGGUGGGUAGUUUGACUGGGGCGGUCUCCUCCUAAAGAGUAACGGAGGAGCACGAAGGUUGGCUAAUCCUGGUCGGACAUCAGGAGGUUAGUGCAAUGGCAUAAGCCAGCUUGACUGCGAGCGUGACGGCGCGAGCAGGUGCGAAAGCAGGUCAUAGUGAUCCGGUGGUUCUGAAUGGAAGGGCCAUCGCUCAACGGAUAAAAGGUACUCCGGGGAUAACAGGCUGAUACCGCCCAAGAGUUCAUAUCGACGGCGGUGUUUGGCACCUCGAUGUCGGCUCAUCACAUCCUGGGGCUGAAGUAGGUCCCAAGGGUAUGGCUGUUCGCCAUUUAAAGUGGUACGCGAGCUGGGUUUAGAACGUCGUGAGACAGUUCGGUCCCUAUCUGCCGUGGGCGCUGGAGAACUGAGGGGGGCUGCUCCUAGUACGAGAGGACCGGAGUGGACGCAUCACUGGUGUUCGGGUUGUCAUGCCAAUGGCACUGCCCGGUAGCUAAAUGCGGAAGAGAUAAGUGCUGAAAGCAUCUAAGCACGAAACUUGCCCCGAGAUGAGUUCUCCCUGAGACUUUAAGUCUCCUGAAGGAACGUUGAAGACGACGACGUUGAUAGGCCGGGUGUGUAAGCGCAGCGAUGCGUUGAGCUAACCGGUACUAAUGAACCGUGAGGCUUAACCUU
RNAcentral lists this ribosomal RNA (2992 nucleotides) under Salmonella enterica. RNAcentral describes it as "23S ribosomal RNA". It matches the Rfam family "Bacterial large subunit ribosomal RNA". The record is from RNAcentral. RNAcentral also lists the same sequence under 1 other name. Lineage: Bacteria; Pseudomonadati; Pseudomonadota; Gammaproteobacteria; Enterobacterales; Enterobacteriaceae.